This is a long non-coding RNA of Electrophorus electricus (electric eel), 1555 nucleotides long. RefSeq lists it as uncharacterized. The record is from RefSeq and is a predicted model, not a curated record. Lineage: Eukaryota; Metazoa; Chordata; Actinopteri; Gymnotiformes; Gymnotidae.
GUGUCCUGGUUUGCACUUCCCUCUCUCUCUUUUACACACAGUCGUUCCACACACACAGUCGUUCCGCACACGUACGGAAACACCAGACAGUCUGCAGCUAAGUUUACAGCAGGAGGACGGAUUCGGAAAAAUGGAGGGGGGGAGACAGAGAGGUCAAAAACGAGAAGCGACUGCGAGAGGCACGCGGUUGGGAAAACGCUGUGACCUGGGCAAAAGUGAGGACAGAAGAAAAGAGGGGGGAGCAUUUGAAAAUAGGUGAAAGAGGGAGUAGGGGAGAGAGGGCAAAGGGAGGAAUAUGCUGAGAUGGAGGAAUGCAGGGUUGGAACAGCACAGCUCCACAUAUAGAGGGGGCAGAGAAAGACGGAGUAGGAGUCAGACUGGGUGUAUACAUCUGAGCUCUCUCACCGGGGCUGGGACAGACAAACGGACAAGCGUCACUGCCAGACAGCCCCUCUUUCAUAGGAAAUGAGGCCCUUUGACCUUUGCCAUUCAGUCUGUCUGGAAAUGCAGAGCCUGGAAUCGAUCAACACCACCCUGUACCCCCACCCCCACACCCGCCCAGACAUGCACUCUCCACCUCCACUCCUUUGGACUCACUCAUUCCCGCCCUCCUUCCCUCCACCCCCUUCCAUUUUUCUCUUUCUCCGCAGAGAGCAGCAUGCCCCCUUCCCAUUCCUGCUCACCCUUGCCCCCACGCUCCCAUCCCCCACUAUCAGAUAAUAGGCCCCACAGUGCUUAUGCUACAUUUUCGUGCUCGGGCCCCUUUACAUACGACCAUGCGGCGACAGCUUCCAGCCUCAAGGCAGGAUCGGGUGUACAGCACUGGAAAAAACAUUGAGUAAAUACUCGAUAUGCUAUGAAAGAAUAGUGCCAUGGACCCUGUGUUUAGUGCACAAGAGUUAAGCAUCAUCUACUGAAUUUUGCACAACAUCAAUUUUGUGACAAUGUUAGUCCUAGGUGACGUGACAAUAUGGACAUUUAAUUUAAUUGCACAUCUUGAAGAUGAGCUUGAGUGAGUAAUUGUAUUUAAACCUGCGUUUUGUUGGGUUACCCAUGCUUGUUUGAGUUUCUAUAUUUAAAAAAAAAACAGCCACAGGCGAGUCACAGUGAACAUUCAACGCUGUCGGUGAGUUUUGAAGUGAGAGAAACCAUCGAGUGUUGAGUGUACCCUGCCUCUCGAGCUCACGCCUACCACCCCAGCUUCACGUGCUGUAGCAAUUACAUGUGCAAAAUCCCUUAGCCGCUGAGCUGGCCAAGAUGGCCGCUGGAAUGCCUCCAAUGGCAUCACCACUGCCAGUGGAGCCAAAGACACUUCAUCCAUUCCCAUAGCUCAGAGUCCCGAUUCACAUUCAUUGCUGUCGGUGGGUUUUAUCAGGCUGACUCGCCGAACAAUGAAUGAGAAAUGUGGUCUUCUGUUAUGGCUCAUCGCCUGCUGUAAUAGCCCAUGUGCUUGGGAAUUACAAUUCAUUUGUAUUCUUUCAUUAUUUGAAAUGUGUUUCAAUCUAUAUGCAUCAAAGUAGGUCAAUAAAUGAGAAAUCUAAAUUAGAACUUUGAA